UACGUAGGGGGCAAGCGUUGUCCGGAUUUAUUGGGCGUAAAGAGCGUGUAGGCGGCCACACAGGUCUGCUGUGAAAACUCGAGGCUCAACCUCGAGCUGUCGGUGGAAACCGUGUGGCUAGAGUCCGGAAGAGGAGAGUGGAAUUCCCGGUGUAGCGGCGAAAUGCGUAGAUAUCGUGAGGAACACCAGAGGCGAAGGCGGCUUCCUGGACAAUUGCUGACGCUCAGGCACGAAAGCGUGGGGAGCAAAAGGG
This 253-nucleotide ribosomal RNA is filed under the name uncultured bacterium. Its description in RNAcentral is "partial 16S ribosomal RNA". It matches the Rfam family "Bacterial small subunit ribosomal RNA", at positions 524 to 776 of the family's 1533-position model. The record is from RNAcentral.